GACGAACGCUGGCGGCGUGCUUAACACAUGCAGGUCGAACGGAAAGGCCCUGCUUUUGUGGGGUGCUCGAGUGGCGAACGGGUGAGUAACACGUGAGUAACCUGCCCUUGACUUUGGGAUAACUUCAGGAAACUGGGGCUAAUACCGGAUAGGAGCUCCUGAUGCAUGGUGGGGGUUGGAAAGUUUCGGCGGUUGGGGAUGGACUCGCGGCUUAUCAGCUUGUUGGUGGGGUAGUGGCUUACCAAGGCUUUGACGGGUAGCCGGCCUGAGAGGGUGACCGGCCACAUUGGGACUGAGAUACGGCCCAGACUCCUACGGGAGGCAGCAGUGGGGAAUAUUGCACAAUGGGCGGAAGCCUGAUGCAGCAACGCCGCGUGCGGGAUGACGGCCUUCGGGUUGUAAACCGCUUUCGCCUGUGACGAAGCGUGAGUGACGGUAAUGGGUAAAGAAGCACCGGCUAACUACGUG
RNAcentral lists this ribosomal RNA (468 nucleotides) under uncultured bacterium. RNAcentral's name for it is "partial 16S ribosomal RNA". It matches the Rfam family "Bacterial small subunit ribosomal RNA", at positions 28 to 507 of the family's 1533-position model. The record is from RNAcentral.